Passer domesticus (house sparrow) is the source of this 1793-nucleotide long non-coding RNA. RefSeq lists it as uncharacterized. NCBI's taxonomy places the organism in Eukaryota, Metazoa, Chordata, Aves, Passeriformes, Passeridae. The record is from RefSeq and is a predicted model, not a curated record. The transcript has 3 exons.
CAUGGCGGGCUCUGUCCGGAGCUCUGUGAGCCCCCGAGUGUGCCCCGGCCUCAACCAGCCCCAGCUCCACGGUUUCAUGUUGCUAUAAUUGACAAAUGGCCAAGUGGGGCAAACACUAGUAGUGCAAAACACUUUUUCACACUCUGCUUAAUAAAGGUGUGCGUUUUCUGGCUUGGUUUAGAGCAAGAUUCUGCUUAGGUUCGCAAUUUCACCAUUUCCUGACACCCAGGAAUGCCCUUGAUGAUCUGCAUGCCCCGAGUGCUUCUCCCUUCUCUAGAUCAUAGAGAAAAGCCAUCUCCAGCAGGAUCAAGUCCUUUUGGGGUUGCUUGUGGCACCCAGAAAAUGCUGGUGGUCACCACUCCCACAGCUCAUACUGGAGUGUAUGUUCAACCAUUCUGCAGUACCUCUGGCAUGUUACCUGUGGCUAAGAGGUGGUAGCAGGCAGGAAAAUGCUUUCCCCAGCUCUGCCAGUCCCUGCAGCAGUGUGGGACAGAAUGCUCCGGGCAGUGGGGAGCAGGACACCUUUAUGCAGAUUCGGAUGCUAACCCAGCUCAAGUUUCGCCGGUCUCGCCUGGUGUCUCCUCUGUGGGUGAGUGUUCACCCUGAGUCAGCGGGGUGGAUGUCUGUCCAACCUCCUCUUCUCAAGGGUGAGCAAUGGGCUAACAGCCAACUUGGUUUGGUCCUGACAGUGAUGGUGCACUCAAAUGGAAGGAUUUGGCUGCACUAACUGGUGUUUUAAAAUGUAGCCUGCAUACACAAAUUCUUUGUGCAUAAAUUUGGGUUCUUUGGGAAUUAUUAAACCUCAAAUAAAGAGGCAGUAUUACAUUUCCAGAAUGAUUUGUCCUGAAUUUUAUUCACACACCAGAAUGAAUGAAAGACAAGAUAAAAACCUGAAUGGAACAGGUUGGAAAUGUAUAGUUUAGUCUUCUAGGAGUAUAAUUUUCAGGUACAUUAUGAGAGCCAAGCUCUCGCAUGGCUGUCUAACCAGGAAAGUUAAAACUGGAAACUGUUUUUCAAGGUUUUGUUGAAUUGGUAACAAAGGAAACCAGUUAUCCACCUUGCAGUAGUGAAAUUUUAGUGUAUUUAAUGAUAUUUGAGCUGUUCUGAUAUGCUUGAAGGGUUUAUGUGUCCUUUGGGUAGGAAGUGGUAUCUUUGACUUCUACACCUAAUUAUGAAAUACAUCCCAAAAAGUCAGCCAAGAAGAUGUUAUUUCUGGUUCCAGUACAUGAAAUAUAUGUUUGACAAUUUUAAACUGUAUAUGUAGAGAAACAUGUAACUUAUUACCACCUCUGGGUAUGAGAGAUUUAUGCACUAAAAGUUUCACACAGGUUUUGCUAGACUGUUCCUAUACUGUUCAUGCAAAAUGUGUAUUUCCAAUGACAACUUCUAGCAUACAGUCUUAUAAAAUAGUCCUGCUUUUCAGGAGUUAAAUAAUCACUUUUCUCCAGUAUUUACAUAUUUACAUGUAAAAAAAAUUGCAAGUCUAUGAUUUUAUAUGCACUUGUACCUAUAAAUAAUUUUCAGUAGAUAUGAAAUGCAUAAAUAUGCUAUCAAUAUAUUUCAAUUAAAUAUUCAUCUAUAUACUGCUAUUAUAAUUGUUCUUCAAUAAAAAAAAUUUUUAUGUUAUCAAAUGUUUAAAAGUAACCAAUAGCUUCUUUCUGUGUCAUUUGUUGGUUUUUUAGGGGAUGGAGAUAAAAAUGGCAAAGCUCAGGAACCUUUUUUGCUGGAACUGUGCUAAAAUCCAGUUCCUUUUAUUGGCAAAGUGAAUUUUUCAGUGCAAUUGUAACACUUUG